AAACUUUCAACAACGGAUCUCUUGGUUCUCGCAUCGAUGAAGAACGCAGCGAAAUGCGAUAAGUAGUGUGAAUUGCAGAACUUUGUGAACCAUCGAAUCUUUGAACGCAAAUUGCGCCUUCUUUCGGAAGGCAUGUCUGUUUGAGGGCACCAU
This 153-nucleotide ribosomal RNA is filed under the name uncultured Paraglomus. Its description in RNAcentral is "5.8S ribosomal RNA". It matches the Rfam family "5.8S ribosomal RNA". From Rfam's summary of the family: 5.8S ribosomal RNA (5.8S rRNA) is a component of the large subunit of the eukaryotic ribosome. It is transcribed by RNA polymerase I as part of the 45S precursor that also contains 18S and 28S rRNA. The record is from RNAcentral. Lineage: Eukaryota; Fungi; Glomeromycota; Glomeromycetes; Paraglomerales; Paraglomeraceae.